CCUACGGGAGGCAGCAGUGGGGAAUAUUGGGCAAUGGGCGCAAGCCUGACCCAGCAAUGCCGCGUGAAGGAAGAAGGCUUUCUGGUUGUAAACUUCUUUGACAGGGGAAGAGCACAAGACGGUACCCUGAAAACAAGCCACGGCUAAAUACGUGCCAGCAGCCGCCGUAAUACGUAGGUGGCAAGCGUUGUCCGGAUUUCCUGGGUGUAAAGGGCUUGUAGCCGGGAAGGCAAGUCAGAUGUGAAAUCUGGGGGCUCAACCUCCAAAUUGCAUUUGAAACUGUUUUUCUUGAGUACUGGAGAGGCAGACGGAAUGCCUUGUGUAGCGGUGAAAUGCGUAGAUAUAAGGAGGAACACCAGUGGCGAAGGCGGUCUGCUGGACAGCAACUGACGGUGAGGCGCGAAAGCGUGGGGAGCAAACAGGAUUAGAUACCCGAGUAGUC
Molecule: ribosomal RNA, 442 nt
Filed under: uncultured bacterium
Lineage: Bacteria
Description: partial 16S ribosomal RNA
Rfam family: Bacterial small subunit ribosomal RNA
Source: RNAcentral